UGAAUAUUGCCGUCGUCCUGCUCCCUGCGCCUUCCCUCGACGCUCGGCCUUCCCAUUGGCCGAACACCGUUACGCGCUUUUAUUCUUGUCUGUUUUUGUUUCAGCCAGCUUUGCGGUGCGAAACAUUGCGAGUGGAGUGCGCAGACGCCACGUUUCGUGCCUCCUUUCUGCUUUUGUAGCGUAGUUCCGUGUUGCUGUGCCUUCGGAUGCACCACACGUGAAAAUGACGGCAAGCGACUCUUCCGGAUUCCAUCUGCGAAGCGAGACGUGGCGCGGAGGAAGGUUCGGCUGCAAAGAAUCAGCCGGGCAAAUUCCCGGCUCUGUGAGGACUCGCCACGGUAGCCCGGUGGCUGUGGCGAUGCACUGCUGAGCACGAGGUCGCGGGUUCGUUACCGGCCACGGCAGCCACAUAUUCAUGGGCGCAAAACGCGUUUCUGUGAAAACCAGUCAUCUGAAAUAUAACAGGCGCGCGCUAUCAAUAGAAUCAGUAGCACACCACGCACCAUUCAGUACAGGCCUCUGACCGCAGCGCCUCUACUGCUGUCAUGAAGUGGAGAAACAGUGAACUGCGUCGAUUGGCACACCUGCCAAUCUAGCCACCGUGCAAAAGAUGCCUUUGGAGACAACGUUUUGACGACGCUUCAACAAUAUCUUGACUUCGCCUGAAUAAGUCCUCUUCAAGACCACUUCAAGUAUCCAUCUUCCUGUGAACUUGUUCGAGUAGCUCCAUUCGAGUACGACGAAAGUUUUGUUUCGCUUUAAAUACACUGUGGACCAA
Dermacentor albipictus is the source of this 778-nucleotide long non-coding RNA. RefSeq lists it as uncharacterized. The record is from RefSeq and is a predicted model, not a curated record. NCBI's taxonomy places the organism in Eukaryota, Metazoa, Arthropoda, Arachnida, Ixodida, Ixodidae.